UACGUAGGGACCAAGCGUUGUCCGGAAUCAUUGGGCGUAAAGCGCGCGUAGGUGGCCAUUUAAGUCCGCUGUGAAAGUCAAAGGCUCAACCUUUGAAAGCCGAUGGAUACUGUGAAGCUAGAGUACGGAAGAGGCGAGUGGAAUUCCUGGUGUAGCGGUGGAAUGCGCAGAUAUCAGGAGGAACACCAAUAGCGAAGGCAGCUCGCUGGGACGUUACUGACACUGAGGCGCGAAAGCGUGGGGAGCGAACAGG
RNAcentral lists this ribosomal RNA (253 nucleotides) under uncultured bacterium. RNAcentral describes it as "partial 16S ribosomal RNA". It matches the Rfam family "Bacterial small subunit ribosomal RNA", at positions 524 to 776 of the family's 1533-position model. The record is from RNAcentral.